UAGGGAAUAUUGCUUAAUGGGCGAAAGCCUGAAGCAGCAACGCCGCGUGUGUGAAGAAGGCCUUCGGGUUGUAAAACACUUUUCGAGGGGAUGAGGAAGGACAGUACCCUCAGAAUAAGCCUCGGCUAACUACGUGCCAGCAGCCGCGGUAAAACGUAGGAGGCGAGCGUUAUCCGGAUUUACUGGGCGUAAAGCGCGUGUAGGCGGCACGGCAAGUUGGAUGUGAAAGCUCCCGGCUUAACUGGGAGAGGUCGUUCAAAACUGCCGAGCUAGAGUGCGGGAGAGGGAGGUGGAAUUCCGGGUGUAGUGGUGAAAUGCGUAGAUAUCCGGAGGAAAACCAGUGGCGAAAGGGGCCUCCUGGUCCGCAACUGACGCUCAGACGCGAGAGCUAGGGUAGCAAACGG
Molecule: ribosomal RNA, 404 nt
Filed under: uncultured bacterium
Lineage: Bacteria
Description: bacterial SSU rRNA
Rfam family: Bacterial small subunit ribosomal RNA
Source: RNAcentral